AUUGAUUUUACCAUCAUGUAAGGGACAUAACUCCCACUAAUGGUUUUUAAAAAGCCAUUUUUAGGCAAAACUCUUAAACAAAAGGUCCUUGACCCAUAGGGUCUUUUGCAAUGACCUUGUGGAGCAAUGACCUUGACGAAGGUCACAAGGUCAAAGGUCAAGGUCAUCAAAUUAUGUGGUUUUUGGCACUAUUUAAACAGUUUUAUGUGUGUUUGAAUCCAAACCAACCAACCAACCAACCAACCAAUCAAUCAUUCAAUCAAUUAAUCAAUCAAUCAAUCAAUCAAUCAAUCAAUCAAUGUUUCCGUUUAAUGUGUUUCAUAAGGGAUCCAAGGUGGGUUUUUUUUUGCUUGUUUUAAUUGAGCCUAUUAAACGUGUUUAACCAACCAACGUGUUUAACCAGCAUAUUUAACCGACGUGUUUAACCAACCAACCAAUCAAUCAAUCAAUCAUUCAAUACAUGUUUCCGUUUCAUGUGUUUAAUACGGAAUCCAAGGUCUCUUUUUUUCGCUUGUUGCAAGAGACCCUGUAUCAAGUGUUUAACUAAUAAACCAACCAACCAACCAACCAACUAAUCAAUAAAUUUAUCAAUCAAUAUAUAUAUGAUAUAUUUAUUUAUGACAGUAUAAUUAAAAGAAAAUGGAAGGAAAGACCUAUCAAUUAUUCAAGAAGAAUUGAACUUUAAUUAUUAUUAUUAUUCUUC
This 703-nucleotide long non-coding RNA is filed under the name Mytilus galloprovincialis (Mediterranean mussel). Lineage: Eukaryota; Metazoa; Mollusca; Bivalvia; Mytilida; Mytilidae. The record is from RNAcentral.